GGCGAAUAUCGGACAAUGAGCCCAAGCCUGAUCCAGCCAUGCCGCGGGGGUGAAGAAGUCCUUCGGGUUGUAAAGCCCUUUUGUUGGGCAAGGAAAGCAGCCGGCCCAUUCCCGGUUGGUCUCACGGUACCCAAAGAAUAAGCACCGGCUAACUUCGUUCCAGCAGCCGCGGUAAUACGAAGGGUGCAAGCGUUACUCGGAAUUACUGGGCGUAAAGCGUGCGUAGGUGGUGGUUUAAGUCCGUUGUGAAAGCCCUGGGCUCAACCUGGGAACUGCAGUGGAUACUGGAUCACUAGAGUGUGGCAGAGGGUAGUGGAAUUCCCGGUGUAGCAGUGAAAUGCGUAGAGAUCGGGAGGAACAUCAGUGGCGAAGGCGACUGCCUGGGCCAACACUGACACUGAGGCACGAAAGCGUGGGGAGCAAACA
RNAcentral lists this ribosomal RNA (426 nucleotides) under uncultured Lysobacteraceae bacterium. RNAcentral's name for it is "bacterial SSU rRNA". It matches the Rfam family "Bacterial small subunit ribosomal RNA", at positions 356 to 774 of the family's 1533-position model. The record is from RNAcentral. Lineage: Bacteria; Pseudomonadati; Pseudomonadota; Gammaproteobacteria; Lysobacterales; Lysobacteraceae.